RNAcentral lists this transfer RNA (77 nucleotides) under Escherichia coli. Its description in RNAcentral is "tRNA-Arg". It matches the Rfam family "tRNA". Rfam says of the family: Transfer RNA (tRNA) molecules are approximately 80 nucleotides in length. Their secondary structure includes four short double-helical elements and three loops (D, anti-codon, and T loops). Lineage: Bacteria; Pseudomonadati; Pseudomonadota; Gammaproteobacteria; Enterobacterales; Enterobacteriaceae. RNAcentral also lists the same sequence under 1 other name. The record is from RNAcentral.
GCAUCCGUAGCUAAGCUGGAUAGAGUACUCGGCUACGAACCGAGCGGUCGGAGGUUCGAAUCCUCCCGGAUGCACCA